UCCGGAUUUCUGAACUAAGGGAGAUUCACCGGAAAGGGCUUACAGUGAUAAACCAUCAUUUUGGGAGAAGAGAUCGCAUUAUAUGGUUACAUAAAUACACAACGGCUUGCUUCUGCCAGUAUUCAACGAUGGAAGCCAAAUUAUGAGAUGUGGUGUAGUUGAAGACUGAGUGAACCAUGGCACAGUUCCCCACCACAUUCACAGAUGUGUUUCAGAUCUCGGUGGAUGAGAGAGCCAAACAUGAUCAGCAGUUUCACAGCCUCUCUCCGACUGCUGCGGGUUA
Molecule: long non-coding RNA, 283 nt
Organism: Nematolebias whitei (Rio pearlfish)
Lineage: Eukaryota; Metazoa; Chordata; Actinopteri; Cyprinodontiformes; Rivulidae
Exons: 3
Source: RefSeq, a predicted model, not a curated record